UUAUUGGGCGUAAGCGAGCGCAGGCGGUCUUUUAAGUCUAAUGUGAAAGCCUUCGGCUCAMCCGAAGAAGUGCAUUGGAAACUGGGAGACUUGAGUGCAGAAGAGGACAGUGGAACUCCAUGUGUAGCGGUGAAAUGCGUAGAUAUAUGGAAGAACACCAGUGGCGAAGGCGGCUGUCUGGUCUGCAACUGACGCUGAGGCUCGAAAGCAUGGGUAGCGAACAGGAUUAGAUACCCUGGUAGUCCAUGCCGUAAACGAUGAUUACUAAGUGUUGGAGGGUUUCCGCCCUUCAGUGCUGCAGCUAACGCAUUAAGUAAUCCGCCUGGGGAGUACGACCGCAAGGUUGAAACUCAAAAGAAUUGACGGGGGCCCGCACAAGCGGUGGAGCAUGUGGUUUAAUUCGAAGCUACGCGAAGAACCUUACCAGGUCUUGACAUCUUCUGACAGUCUAAGAGAUUAGAGGUUCCCUUCGGGGACAGAA
This 481-nucleotide ribosomal RNA is filed under the name Pediococcus pentosaceus. Its description in RNAcentral is "bacterial SSU rRNA". It matches the Rfam family "Bacterial small subunit ribosomal RNA", at positions 551 to 1031 of the family's 1533-position model. The record is from RNAcentral. Lineage: Bacteria; Bacillati; Bacillota; Bacilli; Lactobacillales; Lactobacillaceae.